RNAcentral lists this ribosomal RNA (426 nucleotides) under uncultured bacterium. Its description in RNAcentral is "bacterial SSU rRNA". It matches the Rfam family "Bacterial small subunit ribosomal RNA", at positions 393 to 814 of the family's 1533-position model. The record is from RNAcentral.
CAUGCCGCGUGUGUGAAGAAGGCUUCGGGUUGUAAAGCACUUUUAUCCGGAAAGAAAAGCGCUGGGUUAAUACCCUGGUGUCCUGACGGUACCGGAAGAAUAAGCACCGGCUAACUUCGUGCCAGCAGCCGCGGUAAUACGAAGGGUGCAAGCGUUACUCGGAAUUACUGGGCGUAAAGCGUGCCUAGGUGGUUUGUUAAGUCUGAUGUGAAAGCCCUGGGCUCAACCUGGGAAUUGCAUUGGAUCCUGGCAGGCUAGAGUGCGGUAGAGGGUAGUGGAAUUCCCGGUGUAGCAGUGAAAUGCGUAGAGAUCGGNAGGAACAUCUGUGGCGAAGCGACUACCUGGACCAGCACUGACACUGANGCACGAAAGCGUGGGGAGCAAACAGGAUUAGAUACCUGGUAGUCCACGCCCUAAACGAUGCGA